UGCAAGUCGAGGGGCAGCACGGUGUAGCAAUACAUUGGUGGCGACCGGCSCMCGGGUGCGUAACGCGUAUACAAUUUGCCUUAUACUGGGAGAUAGCCCGGAGAAAUUCGGAUUAAUAUCCCAUAAUAUUUUUUCACCGCAUGGUGAGAAUCUUAAAGCUACGGCGGUAUAAGAUGAGUAUGCGUCUGAUUAGCUAGUUGGUGAGGUAAUGGCUCACCAAGGCAACGAUCAGUAGGGGGCCUGAGAGGGUUAUCCCCCACACUGGAACUGAGACACGGUCCAGACUCCUACGGGAGGCAGCAGUGAGGAAUAUUGGUCAAUGGAGGCAACUCUGAACCAGCCAUGCCACGUGUAGGACGAAUGCCCUCUGGGUUGUAAACUACUUUUAUUGGGGAAGAAACCCUCUUACGUGUAAGAGGCUGACGGUACCCAAGGAAUAAGGACCGGCUAACUCCGUGCCAGCAGCCGCGGUAAUACGGAGGGUCCAAGCGUUAUCCGGAAUCAUUGGGUUUAAAGGGUGCGCAGGCGGUAAAGUAAGUCAGUGGUGAAAUCUCUCGGCUCAACCGAGAAACUGCCAUUGAUACUGCUAUACUUGAGUAUAGUUGCUGUGGGCGGAAUAUGACAUGUAGUGGUGAAAUACUUAGAGAUGUCAUAGAACACCGAUUGCGAAGGCAGCUCACAAAACUAUAACUGACACUGAGGCUCGAAAGUGCGGGGAUCAAACAGGAUUAGAUACCCUGGUAGUCCGCACUGUAAACGAUGAUUACUCGUUGCUGGGAAGCAAUUUUCAGUGACUAAGCGAAAGCGAUAAGUAAUCCACCUGGGGAGUACGCCGGCAACGGUGAAACUCAAAGGAAUUGACGGGGGCCCGCACAAGCGGAGGAGCAUGUGGUUUAAUUCGAUGAUACGCGAGGAACCUUACCAGGGCUUGAAAGUUAGUGACCGACUCUGAAAGGAGUC
This 960-nucleotide ribosomal RNA is filed under the name uncultured bacterium. Its description in RNAcentral is "bacterial SSU rRNA". It matches the Rfam family "Bacterial small subunit ribosomal RNA", at positions 56 to 1012 of the family's 1533-position model. The record is from RNAcentral.